GACGAACGCUGGCGGCGUGCUUAACACAUGCAAGUCGAACGGAAAGGCCCUGCUCUUGUGUGGUUCUCGUGUGGCGCAGGGGGGAGUAACACGUGUGUAACCUGCCCUUGUCUUUGGGAUAACUUCUGGGAACUGCGGCUCUUACAGGAUAUGAGCUCUUGCUGCGCGGUGGGGGAUGGUAAGUUUCGGCGGUUGUGGCUCGUCUCGCGGGUUAUCCGCUUGUUGGUGGGGUAGUGGCUGACAAAGGCUUUGACGGGUAGCCGGCCUGAGAGGGUGAACGGCGACAAUGCGACUGAGAGAGGCCGCAGACGCGUACGGGAGGCAGCAGUGGAGAGUAUUGCGGAAUGGGGGGAAGCCAGAUGCAGCAACGCCGCGAGCGGGAUGACGGCCUACGAGUUGAAAACCGAUGUCGCCUGAGACGAAGAGAGAGUGACGGUAAUGGGUAAAGAAGCACCGGCUAACUACGUG
This 468-nucleotide ribosomal RNA is filed under the name uncultured bacterium. RNAcentral's name for it is "partial 16S ribosomal RNA". It matches the Rfam family "Bacterial small subunit ribosomal RNA", at positions 28 to 507 of the family's 1533-position model. The record is from RNAcentral.